Molecule: ribosomal RNA, 468 nt
Filed under: uncultured bacterium
Lineage: Bacteria
Description: partial 16S ribosomal RNA
Rfam family: Bacterial small subunit ribosomal RNA
Source: RNAcentral
GACGAACGCUGGCGGCGUGCUUAACACAUGCAAGUCGAACGGAAAGGCCCUGCUUUUGUGGGGUGCUCGAGUGGCGAACGGGUGAGUAACACGUGAGUAACCUGCCCUUGACUUUGGGAUAACUUCAGGAAACUGGGGCUAAUACCGGAUAGGAGCUCCUGCUGCAUGGUGGGGGUUGGAAAGUUUCGGCGGUUGGGGAUGGACUCGCGGCUUAUCAGCUUGUUGGUGGGGUAGUGGCUUACCAAGGCUUUGACGGGUAGCCGGCCUGAGAGGGUGACCGGCCACAUUGGGACUGAGAUACGGCCCAGACUCCUACGGGAGGCAGCAGUGGGGAAUAUUGCACAAUGGGCGGAAGCCUGAUGCAGCAACGCCGCGUGCGGGAUGACGGCCUUCGGGUUGUAAACCGCUUUCGCCUGUGACGAAGCGUGAGCGACGGUAAUGGGUAAAGAAGCACCGGCUAACUACGUG